This is a long non-coding RNA of Neomonachus schauinslandi (Hawaiian monk seal), 320 nucleotides long. RefSeq lists it as uncharacterized. The transcript is spliced from 3 exons. NCBI's taxonomy places the organism in Eukaryota, Metazoa, Chordata, Mammalia, Carnivora, Phocidae. The record is from RefSeq and is a predicted model, not a curated record.
CUUAUGGCAAACACAACCCAGCCGAUGUAAUUUUGUAAGGAGAAGGCGCGUCCCCAAACAUGCUGCCAAGUGUGGAGGUUUUGACUCUCUGCAACAGGCUUCGUGGAACCUCAUGUACAGGGACGGGCGUGGAGAAGCCACUCUUCACCAAUGAGCGAAGGAACCGCCCGAGGGGAGGGAGUAGGAGCCGCCUGGAGCUGAGUAUGUGUUCCAGGUCAAUUAUAGUUUCCCUCUGAAGGAUGGGGUAAUUUUGUAUUUUUUUCUUUGUUAUAUCUUCUAAAUUUUGUUUUUCCUUCCUUCCUGUCCUUUUUCACUUCUCC